This is a long non-coding RNA of Sinocyclocheilus anshuiensis, 4307 nucleotides long. The record is from Ensembl. NCBI's taxonomy places the organism in Eukaryota, Metazoa, Chordata, Actinopteri, Cypriniformes, Cyprinidae.
AAAGUUUUUAAAAGACUUUAAAACUAUCAACCUUUUGUGGUAAUUUCUGUUUUUGUCUUGGUUGUUGUGCUUUCUGUAGUUGUGGUUUCCAUGGUUGUACUUUCUGAAGUUGUGAUACCUGGGGUGGUAAUUUCUUUUGUAGUGAUUUCUGUUGUUGUGGUCUCUAUUGUUGUACCUUCUGGAGUGGUUGAGCCAGUGGUUGUACUUUCUGUCGCUGUCGUGCUUUCUGGAGUUGUGGUACCGGUUGUGGUGCUUUCUGUUGUGGUCUCGGUCGUUUUGCUUUCCGGUGUUGUGGUACUGGUUGUGGUGCUUUCUGGUGUUGUGGUACCUGUGGUAGUGCUUUCUGUUGUUGUAGUGUCUGUUGUGGUGAUUUCUGUUGUUGUGGUCUCUGUUGUGGUCUCGGUUGUUGUGCUUUCGGGUGUUGUAGUGUCUGUUGUGGUGCUUCCUGUUGUUGUGGUCUCUGUUGUUGUACUUUCUGAAGUGGUGGUGCCAGUUUUUGUACUUUCUGUCAUUGUGGUGCUUUCUGGAGUUGUGGUACCGGUUGUGCUGCUUUCUGUUGUUGUGGUCUCUGUUGUGGUGCUUUUUGGUGUUGUGGUACCUGUGGUGGUACUUUCUAGUGUUGCGGUACCUGUGGUAGUGCUUUCUGUUGUUGUAGUGUGGGUUGGGGUGCUUUCCGUAGUUGUGGUUUCCAUUGUUGUACUUUCGGAAGGUGAAAUACCAGGGGUCGUACUUUCUGCUGUAGUGCUUUCUGUUGUUGUGGUCUCUGUUGUUGUACUUUCUGAAGAGGUGGUGCCAGUGGUUGUACUUUCUGUCGUUGGGGUGCUCUCUGGUGCUGUGGUACCUGUAGUGGUGCUUUCUGGUGUUGUGGUACCUGUGGUUGUGCUUUCUGUUGUUGUAGUGUCUGUUGUGGUGCUUUCUGUUGUUGUGGUCUCUGCUGUGGUCUCGGCUGUUGUGCUUUCUGGUGUUGUGGUUCCUGUAGUGGUGCUUUCUGGUGUUGUGGUACCUGUGGUUGUGCUUUCUGUUGUUGUAGUGUCUGUUGUGGUGCUUUCUGUUGUUGUGGUCUCUGCUGUGGUCUCGGCUGUUGUGCUUUCUGGUGUUGUGGUUCCUGUAGUGGUGCUUUCUGGUGUUGUGGUGCCUGUGGUCGUGCUUUCUGUUGUUGUAGUGUCUGCUGUGGUGCUUUCUAUAAGUGUGGUUUCCAUUGUUGUACUUUCUGAAGUUGUAAUACCAGGGGUGGUACUUUCUGAAGUGGUGGUGCCAGUUGUUGUACUUUCUGUCAUUGUGGUGCUUUCUGGAGUUGUGGUACCGUUUGUGGUGCUUUCUGUUGUUGUGGUCUCUGUUGUAGUGCUUUCUGGUGUUGUGGUACCUGUGGUCGCUCUUUCUGUUGUUGUGGUGCUUUCUGUAGUUGUGGUUCCCAUUGUUGUACUUUUCGAAGUUGUAAUACCAGGGGUUGUACUUUCUGUCAUUGUGGUGCUCUCUGGUGUUGUGGUACCUGUAGUGCUGCUUUCUGGUGUUGUCGUACCUGUGGUCGUGAUUUCUGUUGUCGUAGUGUCUGUUGUGGUACUUUCUGUAGUUGUUGUUUCCAUUGUUGUACUUUCUGAAGUUAUAAUACCAGGGGUCGUACUUUCUGUUGUAGUGCUUUCUGUUGUUGUGGUCUCUGUUGUUGUGCUUUCUGGUGUUAUGGUACCUGUGGACAUGCUUUCUGGAGUUGUGGUACCUGUGGUGGUGCUUUCUGUUGUUGUGCUCUCUGUUGUUGUACUUUUUGGAGUGGUUGUGCCAGAGGUUGUACUUUCUGUCACUGUGGUGCUUUCUGUAGUUGUAGUACCGGUUGUGGUCCUUUCUGUUGUUGUGGUCUCGGUUGUUUUGCUUUCUGGUGUUGUGGUUCCCAUUUUUGUACUUUCUGAAGUUGUAAUACCAGGGGUGAUACUUUCUGUUGUAGUGCUUUCUGUUGUUGUGGUCUCUGUUGUUGAACUUUCUGAAGUAGCGGUGCCAGUGGAUGUACUUUCUGUCAUUUUGGUGCUUUCUGGGGUUGUGGUACCGGUUGUGGUGCUUUCUGUUGUCGUGGUCUCUGUUGUGGUCUCGGUUGUCGUGCUCUCUGGAGUUGUGAUACCUGUGGUGGUGCUUUCUGUUGUUGUUGUACUUACUGGAGUGGUUGUGCCAGUGGUUGUACUUUCUGUCACUGUGGUGCUUUCUGGAGUUGUGGUACUGGUUGUGGUGCUUUCUGUUGUUGUGGUCUCGGUUGUUGUACUUUCUGGUGUUGUGGUACUUAUGGUCGUGCUUUCUGGUGUUGUGGUACCUGUGGUGGUGCUUUCUGGUGUUGUGGUACCAGUUGUUGUGCUUUCUGUUGUUGUGUUCUCAGUUAUUGUGCUUCCUGGUGUUGUGGUAGCUGUGGUGGUGCUUUCUGUUGUUAUAGUUUCUGUUGAGGUGCUUUCUUUAGUUGUGGUUUCCAUUGUUGUACUUUCUGAAGUUGUAAUACUAGGUGUGGUACUUUCUGUUGUAGUGCUUUCUGUUGUUGUUUUCUCUGUUGUUGUACUUUCUGGAGUGGUUGUACUUUCUGUCACUGUGGUGCUUUCUGUUGUUGUGCUUUCUGGAGUUGUUUUACCGGUUGUUGUUCUUUCUGGUGUUGUGGAACCUGUGUUGGUGCUUUCUGGUGUUGUGGUACCUGUGGUGCUGCUUUCUGUUGUUGUAGUGUCUGUUGUGGUGCUUUCUGUAGUUCUGGUUUCCAUUGCUGUACUUUCUGAAGUUGUAAUAACAGGGGUGGUACUUUCUGUUGUGGUGCUUUCUGUUGUUGUACUUUCUGAAGUGGUGGUGCCAGUGGUUGUACUUCCUAUCAUUUUUGUGCUUUCUGGAGUUGUGGUACCGGUUGUGGUGCUUUCUGUUGUCAUGGUCUCUGUUGUAGUCUCGGUAGUGGUGCUCUCUGGUGUUGUGGUACCUGUGGUCAUGCUUUCUGGAGUUGUGGUACCUGUGGUGGUGCUUUCUGUUUUUGUGGUCUCUGUUGUUGUACUUUCUGGUGUUGUGGUACCUGUGGUGGUGCUUUCUGGAGUUGUGGUACCGGUUGUUGUGCUUUCUGUUGUUGUGGUUUCUAUUGUGGGCUCGGUUAUUGUGCCUCCUGGUGUUGUGGUCGCUGUGGUGGUGCUUUCUGGUGUUAUAGUUUCUUUUGUGGUGCUUUCUUUAGUUGUGGUUUCCAUUGUUGUACUUUCUGAAGUUGUAAUACUAGGUGUGGUACUUUCUGUUGUAGUGCUUUCUGUUGUUGUUUUCUCUGUUGUUGUACUUUCUGGAGUGGUUGUACUUUCUGUCACUGUGGUGCUUUCUGUUGUUGUGCUUUCUGGAGUUGUUUUACCGGUUGUUGCACUUUCUGGUGUUGUCGUACCUGUGGUGAUGCUUUCUGGUGUUUUGGUACCUGUGGUGGUGCGUUCUGUUGUUGUAGUGUCUGUUGUGGUGCCUUCUGUAGUUCUGGUUUCCAUUUCUGUACUUUCUGAAGGUGUAAUAACAGUGGUGGUACUUUCUGUUGUAGUGCUUUCUGUUGUUGGGGUCUCUGUUGUUGUACUUUCUGAAUUGAUGGUGCCAGUGGUUGUACUUUCUGUCAUUGUGGUGCUUUCCAGAGUUGUGAUACCGGUUGUGGUGCUUUCUGUUGUCGUGGUCUCUGUUUUGGUCUCAGUUGUGGUGCUUUCUGAUGUUGUGGUACCUGUGGUGGUGCUUUCUGGUGUUGUGGUACCUGUGGUGGUGCUUUCUGUUGUUGUAGUGUCUGUUGUGGUGCUUUCUGUAGUUGUGCUUUCCAUUGUUUUACUUUCUGAAGUUGUAAUACUAGGGGUGGUACUUUCUGUUGUGGUGCUUUCUGUUGUUGUACUUUCUGAAGUGGUGGUGCCAGUGGUUGUACUUUCUGUCAUUGUUGUGCUUUCUGGUUUUGUGGUACCUGUGGUGGUGCUUUCUGUUGUUGUAGUGUCUGUUGGGGUACUUUCUGUAGGUGUGGUUUCCAUUAUUGUACUUUCUGAAGUUGUAAUACCAGGGGUUUUGCUUUCAGUUGUAGUGCUUUCUUUUGUUGUGGUUUCUGCUGUUAAACCUUCUGGAGUGGUUAUGCCAAUGGUUGUACUUUCUGUCAUUGUGGUGCUUUUGGGAAUUGUGGUACCCGUGGUGAUGCUUUCUGUUGUGAUAUCAGCUAUGGUACCUGUGGUGGUACUUUGUAUUGUUUUGGUCUCGGUUGUUGUCCCGGGGGUGGUACUUUCUGUUGUUGUUGUUGUUGUUUCCGUUGUUCUGCUUUCUGGAGUGGUUGUGCCAGUGGUUGUAAUUUUUGUCACUGUGGUGCUUUCUGG